UAUUUCGCAUACACAAACCAAAAUUUACAUAACUUACCAUGCUUUAUAUACACAAGCUUUUAACUAUAUGUAUCCAAACGCCUCUAAGACUCAAGGUACAUACACAAGGCAUUCGUAUAUCUAUGCCUAUGUGUGACUAUCACAAUUGAAUGAUUACUAGUCUUAUGCACAACCUCGGAUUCACAUAAAUAAAUAUUUAACAUGUCAUUACUUUAUAAACCCCAUUUGGCCCUAAUCAAACAAAUUUAACUUCUAUAAAAAGGUUUUCAUUCCAUGAUCAAUGUAACCAUUUCAUAUUGGUUUUAUCUAUG
This 311-nucleotide long non-coding RNA is filed under the name Gossypium barbadense (sea-island cotton). RNAcentral's name for it is "long non-coding RNA (GBAR_LNC012629)". Lineage: Eukaryota; Viridiplantae; Streptophyta; Magnoliopsida; Malvales; Malvaceae. The record is from RNAcentral.